UAAUAGAGCGUCGCAAUGACUCUCGGCAACGGAUAUCUCGGCUCUCGCAUCGAUGAAGAACGUAGCGAAAUGCGAUACUUGGUGUGAAUUGCAGAAUCCCGUGAACCAUCGAGUCUUUGAACGCAAGUUGCGCCCGAAGCCUUUCGGCCGAGGGCACGUCUGCCUGGGCGUCACGC
Molecule: ribosomal RNA, 176 nt
Filed under: Boehmeria clidemioides
Lineage: Eukaryota; Viridiplantae; Streptophyta; Magnoliopsida; Rosales; Urticaceae
Description: 5.8S ribosomal RNA
Rfam family: 5.8S ribosomal RNA (bases 18-173)
About the family: 5.8S ribosomal RNA (5.8S rRNA) is a component of the large subunit of the eukaryotic ribosome. It is transcribed by RNA polymerase I as part of the 45S precursor that also contains 18S and 28S rRNA. Functionally, it is thought that 5.8S rRNA may be involved in ribosome translocation.
Source: RNAcentral